Anopheles stephensi (Asian malaria mosquito) is the source of this 181-nucleotide long non-coding RNA. RefSeq lists it as uncharacterized. Lineage: Eukaryota; Metazoa; Arthropoda; Insecta; Diptera; Culicidae. The transcript is spliced from 3 exons. The record is from RefSeq and is a predicted model, not a curated record.
AAGUGCUCGAUUUUUAAGCACUGCUGGAGUGACACAAAUCAUCGUGCUCGUCACUGACGUCAUUGAUUGCGUCAUUUCAGGAUUACGACGGAUACCGGCAUUUAAACGCUAAUUGGGUGGUCGGAUGGGUCGCUGUAUAUGGAUGCGAAGAGCUGGACGGUAAUAGUAACGAACAAAUACA